UCAGUGCAAUGAGUUUUCUCAGUUCUUUUUAGUCAAGGACUGAAGGAGCUGAUGCUAAAGGAGUAAUAUUUCUAUCUUCUAUUUUAUAUUUCUAUCAAAGAACACUUUGAUUACAGGAUACCUUACAAAUGUGUUAAAAGGAAAGCCUCAAAGUCCGCAACGGAGGUAAGAGUAACAAAGGUUGUGCUCACCUUGUCACCACAAGAAACUAUUCAACUCCUUAAAACAGGAAGCCACUUUUCUGUAGAUUCUCUCAAACAGACAACAGGGGUAGAAGUAUUCUAUGAUGACAGACCGCGCAGGAAAGUGAGAAAAAACAUCUCAAUCCGUGGCACGCUACCCUAGGUCAGGCGCUCCCUCCAGAUCAUCGACGAGACCUUGGACAACACUUCUGCAGACGUGUUAAACCACGAGAAGUGCUCGCCACCGCAGACAUCCUUAACAUCUCAAGCAAUUUGUACUCAAGUGGAGACAAACUGACUUCAAUGGGUUGAGGCCGCUUUCCCUCAUCUUGACUCUGGUGGCUACUUCCUGCCUCCUGUCUACCCCAACCGCGUGCUGAUGACCAGACAAGGUUUCUGGACAAGACAUUCUAGUCCUUCAGUCAAUAUUUAAACAGUCGGACUUGCUUAGCCAAUCUGAGAGGAUUUCAUCAGAUGCCAGCUUGACUGCUUCCUCUCCUUUAGGAAAGUGAAUCAUGUCAUCAGUGGGUGUGUAAUUGUAGAUGUCCAACAUGAAUUUGAAUUUUCUGCCAGCACUUGUAUUGUUUUGUGGCCUUUGACAUACCAGCGAU
Molecule: long non-coding RNA, 793 nt
Organism: Pomacea canaliculata
Lineage: Eukaryota; Metazoa; Mollusca; Gastropoda; Architaenioglossa; Ampullariidae
Exons: 4
Source: RefSeq, a predicted model, not a curated record